This is a long non-coding RNA of Salvelinus fontinalis (brook trout), 2039 nucleotides long. RefSeq lists it as uncharacterized. Lineage: Eukaryota; Metazoa; Chordata; Actinopteri; Salmoniformes; Salmonidae. The transcript is spliced from 4 exons. The record is from RefSeq and is a predicted model, not a curated record.
UAUUGAGCAGGGCCAGGUGUGUGUUAUUGAGCAGGGCCAGGUGUGUGUGUUAUUGAGCAGGGCCAGGUGUGUCUGUUUAUUGAGCAGGGCCAGGUGUGUCUGUUAUUGAGCAGGGCCAGGUGUGUCUGUUAUUGAGCAGGGCCAGCUGUGUGUUAUUGAGCAGGGCCAGCUGUGUGUUAUUGAACAGGGCCAGGUGUGUGUUAUUGAGCAGGGCCAGGUGUGUGUUAUUGAGCAGGGCCAGGUGUGUGUUAUUGAGCAGGGCCAGGUGUGUGUUAUUGAGCAGGGCCAGGUGUGUGUUAUUGAGCAGGGCCAGCUGUGUGUUAUUGAGCAGGGCCAGCUGUGUGUUAUUGAGCAGGGCCAGCUGUGUGUUAUUGAGCAGGGCCAGCUGUGUGUUAUUGAACAGGGCCAGGUGUGUGUUAUUGAGCAGGGCCAGGUGUGUGUUAUUGAGCAGGGCCAAGUGUGUGUUAUUGAGCAGGGCCAGGUGUGUGUUAUUGAGCAGGGCCAGGUGUGUGUGUUAUUGAGCAGGGCCAGGUGUGUGUGUUAUUGAGCAGGGCCAGGUGUGUCUGUUUAUUGAGCAGGGCCAGGUGUGUCUGUUUAUUGAGCAGGGCCAGGUGUGUGUUAUUGAGCAGGGCCAGGUGUGUGUUAUUGAGCAGCGCCAGGUGUGUGUGUUAUUGAGAAGGGCCAGGUGUGUCUGUUUAUUGAGCAGGGCCAGGUGUGUCUGUUAUUGAGCAGGGCCAGGUGUGUCUGUUAUUGAGCAGGGCCAGGUGUGUGUUAUUGAGCAGGGCCAGGUGUGUGUUAUUGAGCAGGGCCAGGUGUGUGUUAUUGAGCAGGGCCAGGUGUGUGUUAUUGAGCAGGGCCAGGUGUGUGUGUUAUUGAGCAGGGCCAGGUGUGUCUGUUUAUUGAGCAGGGCCAGGUGUGUGUUAUUGAGCAGGGCCAGGUGUGUGUUAUUGAGCAGGGCCAGGUGUGUGUUAUUGAGCAGGGCCAGGUGUGUGUUAUUGAGCAGGGCCAGGUGUGUGUGUUAUUGAGCAGGGCCAGGUGUGUCUGUUUAUUGAGCAGGGCCAGGUGUGUCUGUUAUUGAGCAGGGCCAGGUGUGUCUGUUAUUGAGCAGGGCCAGGUGUGUCUGUUAUUGAGCAGGGCCAGGUGUGUGUUAUUGAGCAGGGCCAGGUGUGUGUUAUUGAGCAGGGCCAGCUGUGUGUUAUUGAGCAGGGCCAGGUGUGUGUUAUUGAGCAGGGCCAGCUGUGUGUUAUUGAGCAGGGCCAGCUGUGUGUUAUUGAGCAGGGCCAGCUGUGUGUUAUUGAGCAGGGCCAGCUGUGUGUUAUUGAACAGGGCCAGGUGUGUGUUAUUGAGCAGGGCCAGGUGUGUGUUAUUGAGCAGGGCCAAGUGUGUGUUAUUGAGCAGGGCCAGGUGUGUGUUAUUGAGCAGGGCCAGGUGUGUGUGUUAUUGAGCAGGGCCAGGUGUGUGUGUUAUUGAGCAGGGCCAGGUGUGUCUGUUUAUUGAGCAGGGCCAGGUGUGUGUUAUUGAGCAGGGCCAGGUGUGUGUUAUUGAGCAGGGCCAGGUGUGUGUUAUUGAGCAGGGCCAGGUGUGUGUUAUUGAGCAGGGCCAGCUGUGUGUUAUUGAGCAGGGCCAGGUGUGUGUUAUUGAGCAGGGCCAGCUGUGUGUUAUUGAGCAGGGCCAGGUGUGUGUUAUUGAGCAGGGCCAGGUGUGUGUUAUUGAGCAGGGCCAGGUGUGUGUUAUUGAGCAGGGCCAGGUGUGUGUUAUUGAGCAGGGCCAGGUGUGUCUGUUUAUUGAGCAGGGCCAGGUGUGUCUGUUUAUUGAGCAGGGCCAGGUGUGUCUGUUAUUGAGCAGGGCCAGGUGUGUCUGUUAUUGAGCAGGGCCAGGUGUGUCUGUUUAUUGAGCAGGGCCAGGUGUGUCUGUUUAUUGAGCAGGGCCAGGUGUGUCUGUUUAUUGAGCAGGGCCAGGUGUGUCUGUUUAUUGAGCAGGGCCAGGUGUGUCUGUUAUUGAGCAGGGCCAGGUGUGUCUGUUAUUGAGCAGGGCCAGGU